GCUCGGUCUUCGUGUCGUGGAUCUGAUCUGGACAGGGGUCACAAGUCUCUCUGUGUCUUUUUACUGAAGGAUUUUGUUGGAGAAUUGACCUAAAGUCGACGCACACAGCAGCCAUGGCAGACAAAGAUGAGAUGAGGAAGCCCAAGAAAAAGAGUGCGACUAUUUUUGGCUUCCCAAUAAGCAUCUUUUUCAUCGUCGUCAAUGAGUUCUGCGAACGAUUCUCCUACUAUGGCAUGCGAGCCGUGCUCGUGCUGUACUUCAAGUACUUCCUGAGAUGGGAUGAUGACUUUGCCACCACUAUCUACCAUACCUUUGUGGCUCUCUGCUACCUGACGCCCAUCCUGGGAGCCAUAGUGGCUGAUUCAUGGCUCGGCAAGUUCAAGACUAUUGUUUACCUGUCCAUCGUUUACGCACUGGGACAGGUUAUCUUGGCUGUAAGUGCUAUCCAUGACAUCACGGAUGCAAACAAAGAUGGCACCCCCGACAACAUGACCUUCCACAUAGCUCUGUCCAUGGUGGGUUUGCUCCUUAUUGCUCUGGGUACAGGAGGCAUCAAACCCUGCGUGGCUGCCUUUGGUGGAGACCAGUUUGACGAUGAUCAGGAGAAGCAGAGGAGCACCUUCUUCUCCAUCUUCUACCUGUCCAUCAAUGCUGGCAGUCUAUUGUCCACUGUCAUCACUCCCAUCCUCAGAGCUCAGGAGUGCGGUAUUCACACCCAACAGAAGUGCUACCCAUUGGCCUUUGGUGUCCCUGCUGCUCUCAUGGUGGUAGCUCUGAUUGUGUUCAUUGUUGGAAGUGGGAUGUACACUAAGAACGCCCCUCAGGGCAACAUCUUGGUCAAAGUCUGCAAGUGCAUCGGGUUUGCUAUCAAGAACCGCUUUAGGCAUCGUGCUCCUGAGUACCCGAAGAGAGCCCACUGGAUGGACUGGGCUGAGGAGAAAUACGAUAAACUCCUGAUUGCUCAGGUGAAGAUGGUGCUGAAGGUGCUGUUCCUCUACAUCCCUCUGCCAAUGUUCUGGGCUCUCUUUGACCAGCAGGGCUCCAGAUGGACCCUCCAGGCAACCACCAUGGACGGUGACUUUGGACUUCUUAUAAUCCAGCCUGAUCAGAUGCAGACUGUCAACCCUAUCUUGAUCCUGGUUUUGGUGCCAAUCAUGGACAGUUUGAUCUACCCUCUGAUUGCCAAGUGCAAAUUAAACUUCACUCCAUUAAAGAGGAUGACUGUUGGGAUGUUCCUUGCUGCUCUUGCAUUCGUUUGUGCUGCCCUGGUCCAAAUACAAAUUGAUAAAACUCUGCCUAAGUUCCCAUCAAGCACUGUUGGCCAAGCAAAGUUCAUCAACAUGCUUGACAGAUCGCUGGACGUCAAAGCUGGAACCAACGAGUUCACCUUGAAGCCUUACACGGCCAAUGAUGAUUACCUGACCUUUGAUGAUCCAUUUCUACUGACUCUAGGGGGAAAUGCCACUUACUUAACCGGUUUAGUGGAUGGUAAUCGUAGCACUGUAGUCAUCGUUCAGGAUGGGCCUCUACCUAAGCCUUUAGGGUUCAUGGACAUCAAAACAAAGCCGGAACAGGGCGCUAAUGAUAUCAGAUUUUUUAGUGGCUAUGACUCACUUUUGAAUGUAACAGUGGGUGACCAGGACUUUGGGGAGAUCACCACCAACAGCAUGUCAAAAUAUGUUGGGGUACCACGGGGACUAGCAAAGUUCCUGAUCAAGAGUACUACUGGACAAGAGUGUGUCUACAGUCAAGAGCUGGGCUUCGGCAGCUCCUUCACCUUGAUCAUCCCGCCAACUUUUGCAUUUGGACAAAAUUGUGAACAGAACAUCCAUCCAGUGAUGGACAUCAAGCCCAACACCAUCCACAUGGCCUGGCAGAUUCCCCAGUAUUUCCUCAUCACUGCAGGAGAGGUGGUCUUCUCUGUCACCGGCCUGGAGUUCUCCUACUCACAGGCACCCAGCAACAUGAAGUCUGUGCUGCAGGCUGGCUGGCUGUUCACUGUUGCUGUAGGUAACAUUAUUGUGCUCAUUGUGGCCGAGGCUGCAACGCUCCCAGAUCAGUGGGCCGAGUACAUCCUCUUUGCCUCUCUGCUGCUGUUAGUGUGCUUCAUCUUUGCCUUCAUGGCUUAUUUCUACACCUACAUCGACCCAACCCAGGAAGAAGCCCGGUUUGCCCAGAAAGAACCUGAAGAGAAGGAGAGGAGGAAGAGUGUAGAGAUGAAGAGGAAGGACUCGGUUGAGAACCGCAAGGAGGACAGGAAGAGUUCUGACUCCAGCUCUGACGAGGAGGAAGUCAAACAGACCAAGAUCUAAAGCGUCCAUCCUCUACGGCAUUUCCCUCUUUUGUACAAAUGCUUGGUUCUGUGUUUCAUGUCUGAGUCCAGUACACUACUGAACAUGUAGUGGUUAGAAUGAAUGAAUGGAUGAGUGAAAUGGUGCUGAUGUUAGCAGAACACAGAAACAGGGCUUUGAUGAUUAAGCUCUUGGUGUACAGUGUUGGUGAAGGGAUAAAUCAAACACUGUUAUCACCAUUUCAGCAAAAAACUUUGAGAGAAAAUUCAUUUAAACAGGUUACUCAUAUCAUUAAAAUCCCCAGAUCUUUACUUUACUUUAUUUUUACAGUGAUUUAUUUUGCACUGUGUAGCAACAUCUACAUAUGUAAUUUCUAGUUUCAUAGGAUUUUAUGAUGUGCCCGAGUAAACAUACAAAGAAACCAUUCCAACAUGUAUUUAUUUCCAAGCACAGUGUUGUAUGUAUUGUAAUAUAUUGUGUUUUAUAUGUGUAUGAUAUUCUCAUCUGCUCCAGGGAAAAAAUCUAACACCAAAUACUGCUUAUUGAGUCAUGAAAAUGUUUCAUUAUAUUCCAUAUUCAAUCUCAGAUUUCAUCUUGGCCUGGUAGAACACUGCCCUGUGAUAAUGGCUGCUCACCAAAGUCUUCAAUAAAGAUGCUACCAAGGUGUUGUUGUCAAUAAA
Epinephelus lanceolatus (giant grouper) is the source of this 2971-nucleotide non-coding RNA. The record is from RefSeq and is a predicted model, not a curated record. NCBI's taxonomy places the organism in Eukaryota, Metazoa, Chordata, Actinopteri, Perciformes, Serranidae.